RNAcentral lists this ribosomal RNA (429 nucleotides) under Chloroflexota bacterium. RNAcentral's name for it is "Chloroflexi bacterium partial 16S ribosomal RNA". It matches the Rfam family "Bacterial small subunit ribosomal RNA", at positions 355 to 776 of the family's 1533-position model. The record is from RNAcentral. Lineage: Bacteria; Bacillati; Chloroflexota.
UGGGGAAUAUUGCACAAUGGGCGCAAGCCUGAUGCAGCCAUGCCGCGUGUAUGAAGAAGGCCUUCGGGUUGUAAAGUACUUUCAGUCGGGAGGAAGGUGUCAAGGUUAAUAACCUUGGCAAUUGACGUUACCGACAGAAGAAGCACCGGCUAACUCCGUGCCAGCAGCCGCGGUAAUACGGAGGGUGCAAGCGUUAAUCGGAAUUACUGGGCGUAAAGCGCACGCAGGCGGUUGAUUGAGUCAGAUGUGAAAUCCCCGGGCUUAACCCGGGAAUUGCAUCUGAUACUGGUCAGCUAGAGUCUUGUAGAGGGGGGUAGAAUUCCAUGUGUAGCGGUGAAAUGCGUAGAGAUGUGGAGGAAGACCGGUGGCGAAGGCGGCCCCCUGGACAAAGACUGACGCUCAGGUGCGAAAGCGUGGGGAGCAAACAGG